CGUAGGGUGCGAGCGUUAAUCGGAAUUACUGGGCGUAAAGCGUGCGCAGGCGUUUUGUAAGACAGGCGUGAAAUCCCCGGGCUCAACCUGGGAACUGCGCUUGUGACUGCAAGGCUAGAGUACGGCAGAGGGGGGUGGAAUUCCACGUGUAGCAGUGAAAUGCGUAGAGAUGUGGAGGAACACCAAUGGCGAAGGCAGCCCCCCUGGGUCGAUACUGACGCUCAUGCACGAAAGCGUGGGUAGCAAACAGGAUUAGAUACCCUGGUAGUCCACGCCCUAAACGAUGUCAACUAGGUGUUGGGUGGGUAAAACCAUUUAGUACCGGAGCUAACGCGUGAAGUUGACCGCCUGGGGAGUACGGCCGCAAGGUUA
RNAcentral lists this ribosomal RNA (372 nucleotides) under uncultured organism. Its description in RNAcentral is "bacterial SSU rRNA". It matches the Rfam family "Bacterial small subunit ribosomal RNA", at positions 526 to 896 of the family's 1533-position model. The record is from RNAcentral.